This 394-nucleotide ribosomal RNA is filed under the name uncultured bacterium. RNAcentral's name for it is "partial 16S ribosomal RNA". It matches the Rfam family "Bacterial small subunit ribosomal RNA", at positions 338 to 729 of the family's 1533-position model. The record is from RNAcentral.
CCUACGGGAGGCUGCAGUGAGGAAUAUUGGUCAAUGGGCGCGAGCCUGAACCAGCCAAGUAGCGUGAAGGAUGACUGCCCUACGGGUUGUAAACUUCUUUUAUAAAGGAAUAAAGUGAGGCACGUGUGCCUUUUUGUAUGUACUUUAUGAAUAAGGAUCGGCUAACUCCGUGCCAGCAGCCGCGGUAAUACGGAGGAUCCGAGCGUUAUCCGGAUUUAUUGGGUUUAAAGGGUGCGUAGGUGGAUUGUUAAGUCAGUGGUGAAAUGUUGCGGCUCAACCGGAAAAUUGCAGUUGAAACUGGCAGUCUAGAGUACAGUAGAGGUAGGCGGAAUGCAUGGUGUAGCGGUGAAAUGCUUAGAGAUCACGAAGAACACCGAUUGCGAAGGCAGCUUAC